UUUCGGUUUGGAUCGCUUGCUUCGAACGUUGGCAAUCGUAGUCUUCCAAUAAUGGAAACAGUAGAACGGCCUCUGCAGAGUUAGUGGGUGCGCAGGGCUAUUGAAUCGUGCAAUAGGAAAGUAAUUUAAACUUUUUUAUGUCUUUCAUAGAUAGUCUUCUGGAUUAAGUUGAUGCAUCCCACGUUUUAAGAAGGAAACAUGCAGAAGCUUAAUGGUUUGUAGAUUAAUCAAACAACAAUGUCUGAAGAAAUUAGAAAAAGGCUUGAUUUUCCUAACACACUUAUACAGUCACAGGCUGUGGGCCAUCUUACUGCUGCAGUGCUAAAAGAAAAUGUUUUAUCUAACAAGAUCAGCCAGUCCAGUAACCAGG
Molecule: non-coding RNA, 370 nt
Organism: Python bivittatus (Burmese python)
Lineage: Eukaryota; Metazoa; Chordata; Lepidosauria; Squamata; Pythonidae
Source: RefSeq, a predicted model, not a curated record